RNAcentral lists this long non-coding RNA (7160 nucleotides) under Ricinus communis (castor bean). Its description in RNAcentral is "long non-coding RNA (RCOM_LNC002813)". Lineage: Eukaryota; Viridiplantae; Streptophyta; Magnoliopsida; Malpighiales; Euphorbiaceae. The record is from RNAcentral.
CAGCUCUUUUUGGUCUCAGAGGCUGCACAAGCUAGGUUGCUUGUGCAGACUUUUCAUCCCUGAUCAAGGGAAAAAGGGAGCAUCCUUUCCUGCAAGGCAGGAAAGGUCACUUCUACCUUUUUCCAAAAAACUCAGAAGUAUCCGUUAGAAAGAAGACUCAGAAUCUCAGCAUGUAUAUAUUUUCAUCUCAAGUUGUAAUAAACUCAGAAUUCUUGUAACAUAAACAUUCAUUAUUGUUCUAUAAAAAUUCACAUGGUAUCAGAGCUGCGGUCUAAUUUAUGCUGACGCUUUAUAUGGACAUAGCAAACACAACCAAAGACUCGAAGAUGGCCUAAAUCUAUUUGACGGCUUUUGAGAACUUCUAGAGGGCUCAUGUUUUUUAAGGUGACAGUGGGUAACCGAUUGAUAAGAUAGGUGGCAGUUAAGAGAGCAUCCGACCAAAAAACAGAAGGGACAUUAUUUGGAAAAAGAAGGGUGCGAGUGACAUUGAGAAGAUGUUGAUUUUUGUGUUUAGAAACACCAUUUUGCUCGGGGGUAUUAACACAUGUGGUUUGAUGCAAAAUUCCAUUUUGUUUAAAGAAACUAGAAAAAUUAUGGUUUAUGUACUCCGUACCAUUAUCGGAUCGAAAUAUUUUUAAUUUUGCAUUAUACUGGUUUUUUAUAAAAUUAAAAAAAAUUUGGAAUCGAGAAAAAACUUCAUUUUUUCCUUUUAAUAAAUAGAUCCAGGUGUUACGAGAGUAAUCACCAAUGAAAGUGACAAAAUAUCUAAAAUGAUUAUAGGCAGUAACGAGGGCAGGUCUCCAAACAUCAGAAUGAAUUAAAUCAAAAGGUUUUUCUGACCUACUGGAAGACAAGGAAAAAGACAAUCGUGUGUGUUUGGAAAAUUUACACACAUCACAAUUACUCGAGUUUAAAUUGUAACAAAAUAAUUUAUUUAGGACGGAGUCGGAGGGAUGCCCAAAUCUCUGAUGCAUGAGCAUGCCAGGGGUGGUUGAUAUAAGGCAUUGCAGGGAAGGACUAUGAAGGUAGUAGAGGCCAUUUUCUAAGUGUCAUUUACCAAUCGUCUUCCUGGAAUUUCGAUCCUGAAAGGAGACUAAAGAUGAUGAGAAAAUGACAUUGCAGUUCAAAUUUUGAGUAAUCUUACUAACAGAUAACAAAUUAGAAUUAAAUUCAGGCAGAAAUAAAACAUCAUUAAUGUUGCAAUUAAAUAAAUUUGUGGUGCCAUGGCCAUGAAUUUUGACCUUGUUCCUGUUUGCAACGGUUACAUGAUGGGAAUCCUUGGUGGAAUGAAUUUUGUUUAGAUUUGCAGGAUCCCAAGUCAUAUGAUCAGUAGCACCGGAGUCAAUAAUCCAUGCAUUUUGAUAAGAUUUAGCAUUAUGAAAUAAAUUGUUUUGAACCGAACCUGACCCGUCGAGUUGUACCAACCAGAAUCCAUGUGGUUGACGAAUCAAAGCUUGGAGUUGGGCCAGAAAUUCGGUCAUUUGGGCCUGACUGGUGGGUUGGGCCUGGGAGGUCGGCUGGGCUUGAUGGGCCUGUGGAGCUGGAUGGGCCUGUUGGGCUUGAUUGGAGAAUGGGUCUGGCCCAGUGGAGAGGUCCAGCCCAUGAAGACCAUGGAUCAUUGGGUCGGGUCGGGUUGCCUGAUUUGGUUCAUUCCGGGUCGGAUCGAAACGGGUCGGGUCGGGUUGAGAAAACCCUAGAAAUUCGGGUUGCAUUUCGGGUCGGGGCGUCAUAUAUCUUUCGGCAUAUGACGCCCCCAUUCCGGAAUGUGCUCCCACACCCUUUCUAGGGUUUUCUUCCCUUCUCAUUUCGCUCCCCCUGCCUCUCCUCUCGCCUCCCUUCGAGCCAGCCCCCUCCCACCCUCUCAAUGGCCUCAACUGCGGAUGGAGGUGCCAGCAGCCAUCGCGGUGAUGACCCUGCUUUUUGCAGUGGUCACAUCGCACGAUGGCGCUCGGCCCUCCUCUCUGACGGCCUUGGUCUCGACGGGUGAGGUAUGAGUGGCUCUCCGUGCUUUCUAAUGACCCAUUCAUAGUGUUCCGUUUGGUUUCUUCGUGUUGGAUAGUCGCUAUCACAGCUUCUAUUGACGGCAGCCGAGAGGCGAGGAGGAUCUAAGAACGCAAGCUUUCGUAGCUUGAAUCCAGGCCUCCGAGGUAGGUGUAAAUUAAAUCUUGUUCUGCCCUUCUUUGGAGUUCUUCUGGAUCAUUAAACGGAGGAAGGUAAUUUUGUAACUCUUCCCAUCUAGUUAAUAUCUCUGUUGCAUAUUCUGUGGGAUUCUUGGUUCCCUAAGUGAUUUGAGAAACUUCAUGUUUCAAUCUGAAAAUGUGAGCAAAAUUGUUUUGAUGCCCGUAAAGGCCUUUUAGUUUUUCCUAGAUUGCUUUUGAUGACUCCAUGAGUAUACACAGUCGGAAAAUCUGGCUUUCCAUGGUAUUAGUGAGCAUGGACAUGACUAGAUGGUCAUUAGUCUGCCACUCUUCCAUUCUGUCCAGUUCUUCUUCUGUUGGAGCUUCUGGAAUUACAGGUUUGGGUUUUUGUUUAUUUCCAGUAAUGAAACCUAAUUUUUUUCUGCCGCUGAGGGCAAUAGAAAUAGAUUUUGACCACUCAAAAUAAUUUUGACUGCCUCUGUCACAACCAAAUUUAUUUAUUUCUUUUUUAUUAAUAAUUAAUAUUCAUUAGCAUGUCGUUAAAUAUGUCAUUUGCAUCAUGAUUAUGUAUGAUUUAUUUUAUUAUAUUAUGUGGUAGAUAAAUAAAUUAUUUAGUUACAUACUGAUUUAAUUGAAAAGUAAUGAUUUUGGACUAAAUUGGAAAGUUAGAAAGAAAGAGGAUUAAAUUGUAAAAUUGCCUAUUUUUACACCAAUAUACCAUCUCUUUCAUUUGUUCAUUUCUACGCAUGCUUUCCUAUUUCCUCAUCUUCUUUGUUUCUCUCAUUCUUCUCCUUUUCUUCUUCAACCUUGAUUUUCCAAAUCAAACUUUACAAACUUUUAGUAAGUGAAAAUUUAAUUCUUCUUUUAAGUUUGAAAGAUUUGGGCUUUCUUAAUCAAGGAAAACAAAGGUGAGUAAUUUUAAUUGCUUGAUUUUACUGUAAAUUAGGAUUAUGAUAUGAAGUUGUUGAUGAUUAUGUGUUUUGGAAUUGUUUAAUCAAGAGUGAACAUGCUAUUACUUGUGAUCUUGAAGCUGAAAUUUCUGGACAGAUUUUUCACCUCUGAUUUCGUGACCUUAGAGGCUUUAUCUCGAAAAUUUCCAAACAUGAAAGUUGUAGGUAUAUAUUUCAAGAAUAUCUCUGUAAAAUGGUUUUGCAGAUCGUUGAGUGAGUAGGAACUUACGAGGUUCGAUUUGCUGCUGCUCUGUUUAUAGUUCAGCAGGUGAUCUGGUUUUUGUGCUGACAUUUUGAGGCAUUUAGAGGCUGAACCAAGCAGAGAGUUAAACAUGAAAGUUGUUCAUUUAUAUAUCUAGUAUAUGUCUGCAAAAUUUCAUAAUUUUUGGUUGAUUAUAACGUGAGAUAUGUUGAACUUAAUAUAGUCUGCUCGAAACUGUUUUAAGCAGAAAUCGGACUUAGGAUUCAGAAAUUUGUUGCUAAUUGUGUGUUUCACAACUUGAGCUAGAGAAGUCCAAAUUGAGUAAAAUUAGUGUCAAUAGAAACUUUAGAAUGUUAACUUUAUAUCUGGAGAGUUUCAUCAGAAAAUUUAUUCGUUUGAUUGGUCAUUUAAUAGGAAAUUUUUUACUGUUUUGUUUAGAUAGAAAUUGGAGCAGCUGUAUAGAAAAUGCCAUAACUAUUUCUAUACUAAUGAUUUUGAAGUGAUUCUUUCUGCUAUGGUUUCUAUAAAAAUGGAAGUAUAAUUCUGAAAAUAUGAGAUUUUUAUUAAUUGUAUAUAAGUUUUGGUGUAAUUUCUAAAUCAGUACCUACAAGCUGCCUUCAUCAACAAAUAUGUUGAUUUGUUGUCAUUCAUCUCAUGCAUCAUAUUAAUAUCUAGAAUAUAUGUUAUUUUGUUGAAAUGUGAUGUUUUAUGGAUAGUAAAGAUAUGUAUAUUUAUGCAUUGUGAUUGAAUUGUAUUUGUAUUGAAUAUGUGAAUAGGUUCAUCCAAAGGAAAGGAAGUGGUAAGAGAAAAAGAAUAGGAUUACUUUGUUAUCCUAUAAAUUUUAUAAGUAUUUAAUAGACUAAACUUUGUGUAUAUUGAGUAGGAACUGCUGUUUGAUUACUUAAUAAUUUCUUGAUUGACUGAUUUGAUAUUAGUUAUAUUUUUGGCUUGUUGUAAAGUGAAUUGAUUGUGAUGUGUUGUGAAGUGAAUUGAUUGUGAUGUGUUGUGAAGUGAAAUGAUUCUGAUUAAGGAUUGAUGACUCUUGUAUGGAUAUUGUGUGGUUGGGAAAGCUGAGCCGGGCGGAUAGCUACCCGAGUAUGUGAGAUGGCAAGACUGAGCCGGGCAGAUAGUCUUGUCAAGUGGUUACUGAAAUUUAAAAAUGUGAGGAAAUGUAAGGAUGAGUCAUCUUAUCCUAAUUUGAUAGAAAUAAUGUGGAAUUGAAUUAUUUGACUUGGUUGAGUUUGAGAUUAUUUGCAUUAUGUGAGAUGAAAUUAUUUGUUUAUGAGAAUAAUUGAAAUGGUUGAUUUUGUGAUUGUUAGUUAAGUGUUGGUAUAAUUUUCUGUAUUGAUAAAGACUUGAUAAUUCUAGCCUAAUAUACUAUAGUUUAGUAAAUUAAAUGCUUAUUGAGUCGCUAGCUCAUUCCUUAGCAAAAAAAUUUUUUUCAGGUUAGUGCAGUUGUAGAUAGCCUUAGCUGUGCAUUGCUCUCUUUGCAUCAGUCAAUAUUAUCAGGUGGGCCAGAGGAGUUAUCUAAAGCAUUGGGACAUUUUGGGAACUUAUGUGAAUUAAAAUAAUGUAUGAAUAUUCCUUAUAUGUAUUAAGUAUGUCUUGUCACUUAGAUUGUAUGAAUUUAUAUUGUAAAUAAGUAGUAAAUUAUGUUUAUGAAGUUAAAUAUAUAUAUAUUGCUGUACAAUUGGAUGUUUGAGUGUGGGUGCUACAGCCUCGCAGGACAAUGUUUGUGAUUUUUGACUGCCUCCCCCCUCUUUAUUUCCACUUAACUCUAAUUUCCCUCUUAGCAGCUCGGACCAGGACUGUCAGCUUCAGGGGGAGUCCCCUCUCGUCUCUAGGCUAAUUCCUUCAGGGGGAGACAAUCCUAUUCCAGAAGCCCAAUCUCAAGAAGUAGCAGAAGAAGAAAUUGCCUUGCAAAGAUCUACCAGACAAACUAGACCUCCUGUGAAAUUUAGAGACUAUGUGUCUCAUUCGGUAAUAUACCCGAUUCAUAAUUUUAUUUCCUAUAAUGUCUUAUCUAAUCAAUACCGCAACUAUCUAUGUCAGAUUUCCAAACUCGUUGAACCCGCAAGCUUCUAUGAAGCCAACACUGACCCCACUAGGUGUAAAGCUAUGGAAGAAGAACUCCUUGCUCUAGAAAGGAAUGAGACAUGGAGUAUUGUUCCACUUCCACCAAAUAAAAAACCAGUGGGAUGUAAGUGGAUUUACAAAAUCAAGUUCAAUAGUGAUGGAACCGUUGAAAGAUAUAAGGCAAGACUUGUAGCCCGAGGUUUCAUGCAGACUUAUGGAGUUGACUAUCAAGAGACGUUUGCUCUUGUAGCUAAAAUAAAUACGGUCAGAAUCCUUCUUUCAAUAGCAAUCAAUCAGGAUUGGAAUCUGUUCCAAAUGGAUGUCAAGAAUGCCUUCUUACAAGGAAACUUAGAAAAGGAAGUUUACAUGAAGCUACCUCCCGAACAUAAGUCAAUCUCAGAUUCUUCCCUGGUAUGUAAACUAAAAAAGGUAAUCUAUGGCCUGAAAUAAUCCCCGAGAGCAUGGUACGCCAAACUCAGCCGUUUUUUAUUAAGCAUUCGUUUUAAUAAAUGUGAAUCGGAUUCAUCUAUGUUCGUUAAACACACUAACAAACAUACUAUUGUUAUUUUAGUGUAUGUUGAUGACAUCAUAAUAAUAGGAAAUGAUGAUCAGGGGAUAGAAGAGGUCAAACAGAGCCUAAAAAAGGAAUUUGAUAUCAAAGACCUGGGCCAACUUUCUUAUUUCCUUGGUAUAAAAAUGGCAAAAUCUGACAAGGGAUUAUUCCUAUCUCAAAGGAAAUAUACCCUUGACCUAUUAAAGGAAACAGGAAAAAUAGGAGCUAAACUGGCCAUCACUCCAAUGGAAACCAAAGUCAAACUCAACCUUGAAGAUGGAAAAUCCUUAACCAACGUAGGGCAUUAUCAGCGCCUGGUAGGAAAAAUGAUUUAUUUGACUGUCACUAGACCUGACAUUUCAUUUACAGUUAGUAUGGUAAGUCAGUUCAUGCAUGCUCCUCGCUCCAGCCACCUCGAAGCCAUAGACCGGAUCCUUAGAUAUCUCAAGGGAACACCCGGACAAGGAAUCUGGAUGAAGAAAAACAACUCCACUAACAUAGUUGGUUUUUCUGAUGCAGAUUGGGCUGGAAGCUGCGACAGGAAGUCAACCACUGGUUUCUGUGUCUUUGUCGGAGGAAACUUGGUAACAUGGAAAAGCAAAAAGCAAAGUGUGGUUGCUAGAUCAAGUGCUGAAGCCGAAUAUCGUGCAAUGGCAUCCACAGCUAGUGAACUCAUUUGGAUCAAACAAGUUCUCAAGGAUAUAAAGAUUGAAAGCGAAAAACCUAUGAAAAUGCAUUGCGAUAACCAAGUUGCUCGUCACAUAGCGUCCAAUCCAGUAUUUCACGAGCGAACUAAGCACAUCAAAGUGGAUUGCCAUUUUAUCAGAGAAAAAGUCUAGAAAGGGGAAAUUGAAACGCCUUAUAUUAAGAGUCAAGAUCAGUUAGCAGACAUAUUCAUAAAAUCUAUUGACAAUCAGACUCAUCACUCGAUUCUCAGCAAGAUGAGCUCGAUAAACUUAUUCGAACCCACCUUGAGGGGGAGUGUUGAAGAAAACAGAAAAUAACAGCUCUUUUUGGUCUCAGAGGCUGCACAAGCUAGGUUGCUUGUGCAGACCUUUCAUCCCUGACCAAGGGAAAAAGGGAGCAUCCUUUCCUGCAAGGCAGGAAAGGUCACUUCCACCUUUUCCUCAAAAAACUCAUAAGUAUCCGUUAGAAAGAAGACUCAGAAUCUCAACAUGUAUAUAUUUUCAUUUCAAGUUGUAAUAAACUCAGAAUUCUUGUAACAUAAACAUUCAUCAUUG